This 372-nucleotide ribosomal RNA is filed under the name uncultured organism. RNAcentral's name for it is "partial 16S ribosomal RNA". It matches the Rfam family "Bacterial small subunit ribosomal RNA", at positions 527 to 896 of the family's 1533-position model. The record is from RNAcentral.
GUAGGUGGCAAGCGUUGUCCGGAAUUAUUGGGCGUAAAGCGCGCGCAGGCGGUUCUUUAAGUCUGAUGUGAAAGCCCACGGCUCAACCGUGGAGGGUCAUUGGAAACUGGAGAACUUGAGUACAGAGGAGGAAAGCGGAAUUCCACGUGUAGCGGUGGAAUGCGUAGAGAUGUGGAGGAACACCAGUGGCGAAGGCGGCUUUCUGGUCUGUAACUGACGCUGAGGCGCGAAAGCGUGGGGAGCAAACAGGAUUAGAUACCCUGGUAGUCCACGCCGUAAACGAUGAGUGCUAAGUGUUAGGGGGUUUCCGCCCCCCUUAGUGCUGCAGCUAACGCAUUAAGCACUCCGCCUGGGAGUACGGCCGCAAGGCUG